Long non-coding RNA from Grammomys surdaster, 2914 nucleotides. RefSeq lists it as uncharacterized. Lineage: Eukaryota; Metazoa; Chordata; Mammalia; Rodentia; Muridae. The record is from RefSeq and is a predicted model, not a curated record. The transcript is spliced from 2 exons.
CUCCUCUCUCUGCUACGUGCUUACUCAGCAGGUUUCCAGCCAGCUUUUGCAAGCCAGGGUGCUCUGGACAGAGGCUGGGGGAGUUGUUCCCAGAGGGAGGAAACAGGUGAUCAGAACUGCCCAAGUUGUCGUUUGGCUGAUGGAGGGGACAGAAAGUCUGAGUGAGGUCCCUGCCCCUAGGUUGUUGUUGGUCGUGUGGAAUGGGGCCGUUUACUCGGAGGGAGGCGGUUAGUGGAGAGGAGGGCUGUGCGCUCGGUUGAGGGAGUGUAGCUGCUGUUUGGAGACUUUGAUUCCAACCCUGUAAAUAUUUGGAAGUGGCUGAGGGACAUAGCUCGUCUGUGCCUGCCCUACUAGUUAGAGAGUAACGAGAGUUUCUGGAUUUGGGGAGGAGUGUGAAAGUUCGGAAGGCUCUGGGCUCCAAUCUUCCUAGCGCUGUGACCCUUUAAAACAGUUCCUCGUGUUGUGGUGACCCCCAACCUUAAAACUGUUUCUGUUGCUACUUCAUAACUAAUUUUGUUACAGCUGAGUCAUAAUAGACAUAUCAGUGCUUUCUGAUGAUCUUAGGGGACUGCUGUAAAAGGGUCGUUAACCCUCAAAGGAGUCGUGACUCCCAGGUUGAGAACUGUCCUAGGGGCGGCUAGCUGGAUGGCUUAGCAGUUAGGACCAGUUGCUGGUCUUCCAGAAGACCCAAGUUGGUUUCCCGGCAGCCAUGUCGGCUGAUCUCAAUUGACUGUACUGUCAGCUCCAGGAGGACCCGAUGUCCUGGCUGGCCUCUGCUAGCACACACUUGCAUUUGCACAGAUACACACUCGUACACAUAAAUAAAUGACUGUUUGAGAUCUUAAAAACAAGCUGGUCACAUAGGCACCCACCUUUAGCCCCAGCUCCCCGGAGGCAGAUGCUAAGGCAGGCGGAUCUCUGUGAGUUUGAGGCCAGCCUGGUCUACAUAGAGAGUUCCAGGACAGCCUGGGCUACACAAGAAGAAUAAAAUAAAAUCUUAAGACAACAAUGAGCCUUAAAAUGGGCGUGGUGUAAUCCUGGUCCUUGGGAGGUAGAGCGGAAGACAGGUCAUCCUCAGCACCACAUCAAGUGUGAGGCCGUCAAGGCUAUAUCAAGGCUAUGUUAGCAUGCUUGCACACACUUUAAUCCAGACAGAGUCAGGAGGAUUCACAGCCAGCCUGAUCUAUGUGAGACUCCUCUCAAAACAAAACAAGAUGAUAAAUGGCCAGGAGGUCAUUCUCUAUGCACACGAUGAUUCCUUCAGUGAACCAGUGUGGAAGGGUGUAGCUGUAUUUGGCCUCCAUGUUUAUCUUUUCUUUAUUGCAUCUUAUUGCCAUAAUCCAAAUAUGUAUGACCCACCCAUUGGACGGCUAUAAAUCAGCGAGCUGUGCUCCUAAAAUACUGUAUCCAUCAUUUCAGGUCAUUUCAGGUCAUUUCAGGGCACUCUCAUUACUCCUGACCGGUCAUCACCCUCGGCCUCCCGCUCCCCUCCCUCCCAGCCUUAGAAAUGGAAGCACACAGCCUGCAGUCUUUCGGCUGACUUCCUUCUUCCUCCGUGUGCCGUCAAGGUCCGCCUGUGUCCCAGCCCCCAUUGCUAUUUCAUUUCCCUUCGUUUCUCAACAACCGUCUGGAGCAUGAUGGACCUGUGUUUUACUUCUUCAUUUGUGAGCUGAUCAGCAUUGAAUAGCUUCCAUCUUGGGACUGUUACGGGUAGUGCUGCCGUGGAUGUUCUUGUGGGAUACAGUUGCAGUCCUGUUAUCCCUGUGCCGGUCCCAGUACUCUACAGUGGUGCCAACGCCUCUUAGUGUCAGUGUUUGUUAGCGUGGCUCUGUCUUUGUGUAAAUUCUUUACAAUUCUGUGGGUCUGUUUUUCCUCACUCUUGGGUUUCCUGCCCCCUUUAUAACUUGAAUUUUAUAGUCAGGUGGUGGUACACAGCUUUAAUCCCAGCAUUUAGGAGGCAGAGAAAGGCAGAUCUCUAUGAGUUUGAGGCCAGCCUGGGCUACAGAGUGAGCUCUAGGACAGCCAGAGCUACACAAAGAAGCCUUGUCUCAAAGUAACAAAAUCAGAAAAACAAAUUUGAAUUUCAGCUGGAAGUGGUGCCAUAGCCUGUAGUCCCAGCACUUGGGAGGUGGAGGCAGGAGGAUCAAGAUUUCUAGGUCAUCCUUGGCUAAUAAUGAACUCAAGGCCAACCUGGGCUGAACUCCCACAAAUUGUCCUUUGACCUCCACAGCUGAGCUAGGGCAUGCAUAUCCCUUCACAAUAAUAAUAAAUUAAAUGCACCAAAAACCUUAGAAAUAAGGGGACUGCUUUAGCCCCUUAAGCAAAACAAAAAGUUAUAUGAUACAUAAAAGGAGGGAAGUCGUGAACACAUUGUAUCUGUACAGCUUGCUUGUGUUCUUACUGGUUAACAUUUGGGUUCCUUCCUCCUGUGUCCCUGCACAGAACGUCCCCAUCACCCCACAGGAUGCUCUGCUCUUCCUGGCCACUGACCCCUCUUCCCCAGGGACUAACAUACACAAUCAUAGAUAGCUUCACUUGGCCCUAAUCCUCAAGCUUUAGCCCUCAAGCUUUCUGCAGAAGCUUUUGCUCUUGUGACGAGCCUAGGCUACUAGCAAGUACCGGGCUAAAGAGCGAAUCCCUGUCUCCAAAAAAACAAAGACGAGAAACAUACAGAGUCUGUACCCGAGUAAGUUUUCAUUCCUUCCGUUUGAUGUCUGUAGUUGUCAUUUUGUUGUCGGUUUGAGACAGGGUGUCACUAUGUAGCCCUGAUUAGCCUGGAGCUCACCGUUUAGAUUAGGGUGGCCUCAAACUCACAGAUUCCCCUGCCGUUGCCUUCUGAGUUGUAAUUCUUUCUCAGGAUUAGAGAGUCAGGGCUGGCCAUCCCCUUCUGUGAAAGAUUAAAUAGUAAAUCCAA